Bradysia coprophila is the source of this 77-nucleotide long non-coding RNA. The record is from RefSeq and is a predicted model, not a curated record. Lineage: Eukaryota; Metazoa; Arthropoda; Insecta; Diptera; Sciaridae.
UAAAUAGUUCUGAUUGUUUUUGUGGAUCAGCUUAAAAAACAGCUGAAGCAAAUUCAAGCUGCAAUUUCAAUGCCAUU